AACGCACGAGACCUGCGGACCUGCGGAAGGAUCAUUAAUGAGAAGCUGCCCCUCGUGGGUAGACCUCCCACCCUCUGUGAACUUACCUUCGUUGCUUUGGCAGGCCCGUCCUCUGGACCGCCGGCUUCGGCUGGCCCGUGCCUGCCAGAGGAUUCCAAACCCUGUCUGUCAGUGUUGUCUGAGUCUAUAUGAAAUCGUUAAAACUUUUAACAACGGAUCUCUAGAUCGGAAGAGCACACG
This 240-nucleotide unclassified non-coding RNA is filed under the name soil metagenome. RNAcentral describes it as "partial contains 5.8S ribosomal RNA, internal transcribed spacer 2, and large subunit ribosomal RNA". The record is from RNAcentral.